UCUGUUUCCCCUGAAGCCUUCGUAUCCCAAGAGAAUCGGAAAUGGUCAAGCUGCUAAUUUCAUACUACAAUGGAAGUUGAACUCACGAAAAAUUUUUAUUUGGAUUUAAUUUAUAAUAAAUUUAAAAUAUAAAUAUAUAUUUAAUAGAUAAAAUAUGAACAUGUAUUUAAUAAAUAACAAUUUAUAGUUAAAAAGGAAGCAUACGGAGGUGAAAUAG
Molecule: unclassified non-coding RNA, 217 nt
Filed under: Hevea brasiliensis (rubber tree)
Lineage: Eukaryota; Viridiplantae; Streptophyta; Magnoliopsida; Malpighiales; Euphorbiaceae
Source: RNAcentral